RNAcentral lists this ribosomal RNA (859 nucleotides) under Diorygma minisporum. RNAcentral's name for it is "SSU rRNA". It matches the Rfam family "Bacterial small subunit ribosomal RNA", at positions 346 to 1254 of the family's 1533-position model. The record is from RNAcentral. Lineage: Eukaryota; Fungi; Ascomycota; Lecanoromycetes; Ostropales; Graphidaceae.
CAGCAACUUGGAGGAAUGUAUAGGGAAACCGGUAAAAAGGAUAUGUACCUAAUAGUAUUAGAAAAUAAUAUGAAAUUAACUAAGUUAAUUAAAAUUCGAAGUAGAUAUGUGAUUAUGACAAUAUUUGCUAAUUUCUUGACAAAGUCACGUGCCAGCAGUCGCGGUAAUACGUGGUAGAUUAGUGUUAUUCAUCUUUAAUAGGUUUAAAGGGUACCUAGACGGUUAAUUAAGCAUAUAUUUGUACUAAUUAUUAACUAGAGUUUAAUGUAAGAAGGAUUGAGUACGGUGAGUGUAGAGAUAAAAUUCUGUCAUACCACUUAGGAACUGGUAAAGGCGAAGGCAACCUUUUAUGUAAAAACUGACGUUAAGGGACGAAGGCUCGAAUAAAGCAUUAGGAUUAGAGACCCUAGUAUUGUGGGCAGACAAUGAUGAGUGUCAUAUGCAAGAAAAAUUUUUGUGUAUAAAUGAAAGUGUAAGCACUCCACCUCAAGAGUAACGUGGCAACGCGGAAACUGAAAUCAUUAGACCGUUUCUGAAACUCGUAGUGAAGUAUGUUGUUUAAUUUGAUGAUCCGCAAAUAACCUUACCGCAAUUUGUAUGACUAGAUAAUAUUAACAAAAGCAUAUUUUUAACUUGUUUUAAUAUGUUUUAACUAGUUACAAGCGUUGCAUGGCUGUCUUCAGUUAAUGUUGUGAAACUUUGGUUAGAUCCAUUUAAUUGACGUAAACCCUUGCUUUAUUUAUAAUAAAGCAGUUCACCGUUAUAUUGGAAAUGAUAUAAGGGACCAAGACAAGUCAUCAUGACCUGAAUAUCGCGGGCUAUAGACGUGCCACAUUACCCUUAACAAAAAGAUGCAAAA